This 1152-nucleotide ribosomal RNA is filed under the name Sphingobacterium sp. Bac_WS1_2. Its description in RNAcentral is "bacterial SSU rRNA". It matches the Rfam family "Bacterial small subunit ribosomal RNA", at positions 188 to 1343 of the family's 1533-position model. Lineage: Bacteria; Pseudomonadati; Bacteroidota; Sphingobacteriia; Sphingobacteriales; Sphingobacteriaceae. The record is from RNAcentral.
GCAUCGGUUUUUGAUCAAAUAUUUAUAGGAUAUGGAUGGGCUCGCGUGACAUUAGCUAGUUGGAGAGGUAACGGCUCACCCAAGGCUACGAUGUCUAGGGGCUCUGAGAGGAGAAUCCCCCCACACUGGUACUGAGACACGGACCAGACUCCUACGGGAGGCAGCAGUAAGGAAUAUUGGUCAAUGGAGGCAACUCUGAACCAGCCAUGCCGCGUGCAGGAUGACUGCCCUAUGGGUUGUAAACUGCUUUUGUCAGGGAAUAAACCUUUCUACGUGUAGGAAGCUGAAUGUACCUGAAGAAUAAGGAUCGGCUAACUCCGUGCCAGCAGCCGCGGUAAUACGGAGGAUCCAAGCGUUAUCCGGAUUUAUUGGGUUUAAAGGGUGCGUAGGCGGUCCUAUAAGUCAGUGGUGAAAGACGGCAGCUUAACUGUCGCAGUGCCUUUGAUACUGUAGGACUUGAAUCUAUUUGAAGUGGGCGGAAUAAGACAAGUAGCGGUGAAAUGCAUAGAUAUGUCUUAGAACUCCGAUUGCGAAGGCAGCUCACUAAGUUAGUAUUGACGCUGAUGCACGAAAGCGUGGGGAUCAAACAGGAUUAGAUACCCUGGUAGUCCACGCCCUAAACGAUGAUAACUCGAUGUUUGCGAUACACAGUAAGCGUCCAAGCGAAAGCGUUAAGUUAUCCACCUGGGGAGUACGGUCGCAAGAUUGAAACUCAAAGGAAUUGACGGGGGCCCGCACAAGCGGAGGAGCAUGUGGUUUAAUUCGAUGAUACGCGAGGAACCUUACCCGGGCUUGAAAGUUAGUGAAUGAUCCAGAGACGGAUCAGUCCUUCGGGACACGAAACUAGGUGCUGCAUGGCUGUCGUCAGCUCGUGCCGUGAGGUGUUGGGUUAAGUCCCGCAACGAGCGCAACCCCUAUGUUUAGUUGCCAGCACAUUAAGGUGGGGACUCUAAACAGACUGCCAGCGUAAGCUGUGAGGAAGGUGGGGACGACGUCAAGUCAUCAUGGCCCUUACGUCCGGGGCUACACACGUGCUACAAUGGACGGUACAGCGGGCAGCUACAUAGCAAUAUGAUGCUAAUCUCUAAAAGCCGUUCACAGUUCGGAUUGAGGUCUGCAACUCGACCUCAUGAAGUGGAUUCGCUAGUAAUC